Molecule: non-coding RNA, 524 nt
Organism: Delphinapterus leucas (beluga whale)
Lineage: Eukaryota; Metazoa; Chordata; Mammalia; Artiodactyla; Monodontidae
Source: RefSeq, a predicted model, not a curated record
AAUUCAGAGAAGAAACAAAAUGUAAAGGAGUGAUCUGCAUAGCAAGGGAUUAGGCAGAUGUUCUAAGAGGUAACCUGAUUCAACUGAGAAGUACCCCUUCCUUUCACUUGACCUUCUGGACACAAAGAUGACAGAAAACAGACUGCAAGGUCCAUGAAGGCAAGGAUUCUGAUGGAGCUGGUGUGUCAGGCUUUCCUUCUUUUCUAGUAAAAUAAUUAAUACUCGAGAGGCAUUCAGUAAAAAUUGGCUGAAUGAACAAAUGAAUAUAAUACCAUUGUUCAUUGUUUUCAGAUGAGAAGAAUGAGGCCCAGAGAGGAAAACUAACCAUCCAGGGUCCCAAGAGGUGACCCUUUAAUUUGAGUCUGGUCUAUCUGAGUCCAUACACUUGUUACUAUGUCAUACUGACUUUGUAUGCUGUUUUGCAUUAUUUCGCUUUCUGAUAAUGUUUCUCAGAAUACACUGAUAAAAACCAUAUUUCAAGAAGAGUCAUGUACCACAAUGUCCACUGCAGCUCUAUUUACAAU